AAGACGUGGAGAUAUAAGCAUGCUCCAAUUCAAUUGGAUUCACUUAUCUGAUGAAGACGGUGCUGGAAGAUACAAAGAUGAGCAAGACACAGUUCCUGCUUUCACAGAUAUAUGGUUUAUGCAUUUAUUUAUAUUCACUCAAGCCCAACUAUACCGCUUCCUACAAAGGUUUUGAGGCAACAUCCAAUAGAACAAUAAAGAAAAUAUUGAAAUAAAAAGUCAGCGACAAGGAAAAUAGAAACAAAACAUGCUGAAGAACAACACUACAACUAUUUAAGUUGAAGGCCCAGAACACUGGUUUUAGUUCUCAAUGUCAACAGGCAUGAGGUAGAAGUUUAAAAAAACAAGGUGUUUCCACUUCCAGCACAAGGAAAAGCUUAGCACUUGAGAACUCAUUCCUGGGACUGCCAGCCCCUGACUUUCAGCAGAUCACCUGUUUCUUGGUAUCGAGGCACCUGUCUGCACGGCAAU
Equus quagga is the source of this 471-nucleotide long non-coding RNA. RefSeq lists it as uncharacterized. The record is from RefSeq and is a predicted model, not a curated record. The transcript has 3 exons. Lineage: Eukaryota; Metazoa; Chordata; Mammalia; Perissodactyla; Equidae.